Molecule: long non-coding RNA, 412 nt
Filed under: Rhinopithecus bieti (black snub-nosed monkey)
Lineage: Eukaryota; Metazoa; Chordata; Mammalia; Primates; Cercopithecidae
Description: lncRNA (ENSRBIG00000046451.1)
Source: RNAcentral
UCAGGGUGGGGAGUCAGAGCACAUUUGGUAAAAUAUGAUGACCAUUCCGCGUGGCUGUUGAUGCUAGUAGUGUACACAGCGGUGUGAAAUCAACUGAUUCUGCCUGAUAACAUUUUGCUCAUCACUAGCAGGUCCCUCUCAGGAUGGCCUUCCAGCUCGCACACCUGUCUUCUCCAGGAAUGGCCCUCGUGACUCAGAGCGGUUGCCCUGCAGCCUCAGCCUGCCUAGCGAGAACCGAUCUGUCCAAGGCAGCUGCAGGUGGACAACUGCAGGUCACCACUCCCCUGCAGGUCAUCACUGACCUGAUGCUGACUUGCAGAAUGGAAGAAGAGCUGACAUCCUCGCAUGGACUUGUCCUUAGGACAGCCACUCGAAGGUGGGACCACGGCCAGGCCCAUCAGGCCAACCCCUA